This is a small nucleolar RNA of Acomys russatus (golden spiny mouse), 147 nucleotides long. RefSeq annotates it as small nucleolar RNA SNORA48. The transcript has a single exon. The record is from RefSeq and is a predicted model, not a curated record. Lineage: Eukaryota; Metazoa; Chordata; Mammalia; Rodentia; Muridae.
AGCCACCGUGAAAAUGGGCAAAGAGACACCUUGUUGGUGGUGGUAUUUUUAAUAUCAGUCAGAGGCAGAGCAGUUGGCAGUCCUUUGUUCAUCCCGGCCUGAUGCCUGGCUUGGUGGCCAAAGCUGCUUUAUGCCUACGACACAAAA